GAUGAAGAACGUAGCGAAAUGCGAUACUUGGUGUGAAUUGCAGAAUCCCGUGAACCAUCGAGUCUUUGAACGCAAGUUGCCCCCGAAGCCAUUAGGCCGAGGGCACGCCUGCCUGGGCGUCACACGUCGUUGCCCCCCCAUCUACUCCUUCGGGAUUGCGGGGGGCGGAUGAUGGCCUCCCGUGCGCCUCGUCGCGCGGUUGGCAUAAAUGCCAAGUCCUCGGCGACGCACGCCACGACAAUCGGUGGUUGCGAAACCUCGGUUGCCCGUCGUGUGCGGUCGUCGCGCAUCGAGGGCUCGAAAAAAUUGCCGGGCUCCGGCUCGACUUUCAACGCGACCCCAGGUCAGGCGGGGUUACCCGCUGAAUUUAAGCAUAUCAAUAAGCGGAGGA
RNAcentral lists this unclassified non-coding RNA (391 nucleotides) under soil metagenome. RNAcentral describes it as "partial contains 5.8S ribosomal RNA, internal transcribed spacer 2, and large subunit ribosomal RNA". The stretch from base 1 to 122 matches the Rfam family "5.8S ribosomal RNA", at positions 35 to 154 of the family's 154-position model. The record is from RNAcentral.